Molecule: ribosomal RNA, 443 nt
Filed under: uncultured bacterium
Lineage: Bacteria
Description: partial 16S ribosomal RNA
Rfam family: Bacterial small subunit ribosomal RNA
Source: RNAcentral
CCUACGGGUGGCAGCAGUGGGGAAUAUUGGGCAAUGGGCGCAAGCCUGACCCAGCAACGCCGCGUGAAGGAAGAAGGCUUUCGGGUUGUAAACUUCUUUUCUGAGGGACGAAGAAAGUGACGGUACCCCAGGAAUAAGCCACGGCUAACUACGUGCCAGCAGCCGCGGUAAUACGUAGGUGGCAAGCGUUAUCCGGAUUUAUUGGGUGUAAAGGGCGUGUAGGCGGGAAAGCAAGUCAGAUGUGAAAACUCAGGGCUCAACCCUGGGCCUGCAUUUGAAACUGUUUUUCUUGAGUGCUGGAGAGGCAAGCGGAAUGCGGGGUGUAGCGGUGAAAUGCGUAGAUAUACGGAGGAACACCGGUGGCGAAGGCGGCCUGCUGGACUGCAACUGACGUUGAGGCCCGAAAGCGUGGGGAGCGAACAGGAUUAGAUACCCCUGUAGUC